CAAUAGCGUAUAUUAAAGUUGUUGCAGUUAAAAAGCUCGUAGUUGGAUUUCUGGAUGGAGCGACCGGUCGGGCAUUAAUUUGUCUGCACUGGAGUCGGUUCCGUCCAUCCUCUUGGAAAGUGCGUCGGGCAUUAAGCUGUUUGGCGUAUGAUCCAAGUCGUUUACUGUGAAAAAAUUAGAGUGUUUAAAGCAGGCCUUCGCCUUGAAUACAUUAGCAUGGAAUAAUAAGAUAGGACUUUGGUCUAUUUUGUUGGUUUGCAGACCGAAGUAAUGAUUAAUAGGGAUAGUUGGGGGUAUUUAUAUUCCGAUGUCAGAGGUGAAAUUCUUAGAUUUUCGGAAGAUAAACUUAUGCGAAAGCAUUUACCAAGGAUGUUUUCAUUAA
RNAcentral lists this ribosomal RNA (382 nucleotides) under uncultured eukaryote. Its description in RNAcentral is "partial 18S ribosomal RNA". It matches the Rfam family "Eukaryotic small subunit ribosomal RNA", at positions 592 to 976 of the family's 1831-position model. The record is from RNAcentral.